RNAcentral lists this ribosomal RNA (154 nucleotides) under Vreelandella aquamarina. Its description in RNAcentral is "partial 16S ribosomal RNA". It matches the Rfam family "Bacterial small subunit ribosomal RNA", at positions 320 to 485 of the family's 1533-position model. The record is from RNAcentral. Lineage: Bacteria; Pseudomonadati; Pseudomonadota; Gammaproteobacteria; Oceanospirillales; Halomonadaceae.
UGAGACACGGCCCGAACUCCUACGGGAGGCAGCAGUGGGGAAUAUUGGACAAUGGGGGCAACCCUGAUCCAGCCAUGCCGCGUGUGUGAAGAAGGCCCUCGGGUUGUAAAGCACUUUCAGCGAGGAAGAACGCCUAGCGGUUAAUACCCGCUAG